GAUGAACGCUAGCGGCAGGCCUAAUACAUGCAAGUCGAACGAAUCCAGUUCUUUCGGGAACUGGGUUAGUGGCGCACGGGUGCGUAACGCGUAUGCAACCUACCUUCCACUGGGGGAUAGCCCGGGGAAACCCGGAUCAAUACCGCAUAUGACCACAGGAGGGCAUCCGAGUGUGGUAAAAGCUGAGGCGGUGGAAGAUGGGGCAUGCGUGCCAUUAGCUAGUUGGCGGGGUAACGGCCCACCAAGGCGACGAUGGCUAGGGGUUCUGAGAGGAUGGUCCCCCACACUGGUACUGAGACACGGACCAGACUCCUACGGGAGGCAGCAGUAGGGAAUAUUGGGCAAUGGCCGAGAGGCUGACCCAGCCAUGCCGCGUGCAGGAAGAAGGCCUUCUGGGUUGUAAACUGCUUUUAUCUGGGAAGAAAACGCCCCUGCGGGGGUAACUGACGGUACCAGAUGAAUAAGCACCGGCUAACUCCGUG
RNAcentral lists this ribosomal RNA (482 nucleotides) under uncultured bacterium. RNAcentral describes it as "bacterial SSU rRNA". It matches the Rfam family "Bacterial small subunit ribosomal RNA", at positions 28 to 507 of the family's 1533-position model. The record is from RNAcentral.